CCUACGGGUGGCAGCAGUGGGGAAUAUUGCACAAUGGGGGAAACCCUGAUGCAGCGACGCCGCGUGAGUGAAGAAGUAUUUCGGUAUGUAAAGCUCUAUCAGCAGGGAAGAAAAUGACGGUACCUGAUUAAGAAGCACCGGGUAAAUACGUGCCAGCAGCCGCGGGAAUAAGUAGGGGCCAAGCGUUACCCUGAUUUACUGGGUGUAAAGGGAGCGGAGACGGGAGCAAAAGUAUGGAGUGAAAAGCCGGGGCUUAACCCCGAGAAUGCUUUGGAAACUGUGCAGCUAGAGUGCAGGAGAGGUAAGUGGAAUUCCUAGUGUAGCGGUGAAAUGCGUAGAUAUAAGGAGGAACACCAGUGGCGAAGGCGGCUUACUGGCCUGUAACUGACGUUGAGGCUCGAAAGCGUGGGGAGCAAACAGGAUUAGAUACCCGUGUAGUC
RNAcentral lists this ribosomal RNA (440 nucleotides) under uncultured bacterium. Its description in RNAcentral is "partial 16S ribosomal RNA". It matches the Rfam family "Bacterial small subunit ribosomal RNA", at positions 338 to 795 of the family's 1533-position model. The record is from RNAcentral.